GUAACAAGGUUUCCGUAGGUGAACCUGCGGAAGGAUCAUUACCGAGUGCGGGCCCUCGCGGCCCAACCUCCCACCCUUGUCUCUAUACACCUGUUGCUUUGGCGGGCCCACCGGGGCCACCUGGUCGCCGGGGGACGUCGUCUCCGGGCCCGCGCCCGCCGAAGCGCUCUGUGAACCCUGAUGAAGAUGGGCUGUCUGAGUACUAUGAAAAUUGUCAAAACUUUCAACAAUGGAUCUCUUGGUUCCGGCAUCGAUGAAGAACG
This 263-nucleotide unclassified non-coding RNA is filed under the name Talaromyces verruculosus. Its description in RNAcentral is "partial contains 18S rRNA, ITS1, 5.8S rRNA, ITS2 and 28S rRNA". The stretch from base 1 to 41 matches the Rfam family "Eukaryotic small subunit ribosomal RNA", at positions 1791 to 1831 of the family's 1831-position model. The record is from RNAcentral. Lineage: Eukaryota; Fungi; Ascomycota; Eurotiomycetes; Eurotiales; Trichocomaceae.